This 4777-nucleotide unclassified non-coding RNA is filed under the name Hevea brasiliensis (rubber tree). Lineage: Eukaryota; Viridiplantae; Streptophyta; Magnoliopsida; Malpighiales; Euphorbiaceae. The record is from RNAcentral.
AAAAAAAAAAAUCGUGAGCAUGUAAAUUACAUCAAUCUGAAUCUUAAUGUAAAACUGCAGUUCUCUCUCUGUAUUGGUAGAGCGUCGGAACCAGUGAGUACUUUUCAAAAAUAAGGAUGGAAACUCAGGAAAGUAAUACAAUGAGGAUUACGUUCUCAGCAGCAACUGCAUUUGCGGGCAAAAUUUAUUAUUGGUGCAAUAGGAAAGUAAUAAUACAGUAAACAUUCAUGAUUUGAACUUAUGAGUGAGUUUCUCUACGCUUUCCCUGCAAUCUUCUGCAACCCGCUUUGCACCUUCCUUCAUAGCCACACUAAACUCUGCAGUGCUUUGCUGCAACCCUUGUAUUGACCCUGUUGCCCUUUCUUUGAUGGCUAAACUAAAUUCCGAUGUGUUUUUCUGCAACUCUUCUAUUGAUCCCUUUGCCUUCGAGAUAGUGGCAUCUUUAAGUUCCUUCGCUUGUGCACUUGCCUUCAAAGCCCACUCCUUCAAAAGUGAAAUUAAGAUGAGUAUUUUCUGUAUAAUCUUAUGAAUCACCUCCUUAGAUUUCUCAUUUACAUUGCCUGCCAUUAGCUUGAGCUCGCCCACCAAUUUUUCAGCCCUGCUUACAGUUCCUUCAACAGAGAACUGCUUUGCUGCAGCAAGCCAUGUAACAUCAGCAGAACUCUCUUUGCGAAGAUCACUGUCCACUACUACUUUGAUGCCAUGCCUCUCCCAACGAUCUCUAGCUUCUUCAAUGGCUCUUGCAUGUUCUCUUGCUCUUUUUGCUUCGUCCUCUGCCCAAGCCCUGAAUCACAUGGUUUAAAAUGCAUAGAAGUUCAUAACUUGUUAUGGAUGAUUUUACAUGUUUGCAGUACCACUAUGUGUUAACACAAAUUGAUAAAGGAAUUCUGUGGACUUUAUUUGCCAAAUCAUAGGUCCUUGGUUAACUAAAGUUUGAGACAACAAAAAUUUAUCACCCUCAGAACUAGGGUAGUUGGGAAAAUAUAGUUCAAAUAUGAUAGUAUCAAACACAACUACAAAAAAGACAUUAGCUAAUUCAUUAUUUACAGAACAUCAUGAUGUGUGUGCAGGCAUCGAAGUAAAUUAAUUUUGAACAAAUGAGACGCAAGCCUGAUAUUGAGGGAAGUAAAAUCACAUCCUCUAAUUUACAAUCUCACCAAUGGGCUUUAGCUCUGUUGGUUUGAAGAUGUGCUGAAUUUAUUUCUAAGUACUUCUCAAGAACAGGAACAAGUGCAAAUUUCCGUUCUAUCUGGCAUCUGCUAAACCAGCUUAUUGUGAUUCAGCAAUUGUUUCCAAAAUUGGUUCAUGAAAGGCAAGAUCCUAUUUUUCUCUAUAGGUAAAACAAUAAGACUUGCUUUAAAUUUUUUAGUCAAUCCUAACUUAAAGUGGUCAAUAUGGUUUUCAGGCAUCCAUAAAUAGGCUAGAGCCCAAGACCUAUAUCAGCAUCCUAGUGGCAUGAUUGGUGAACAAAGGAUAUGUCAAAUAUCUGCAUUAGCUGAGCAACACCCAUCGUAUGGAUGAUGAAAUUAUAUCUUAUUACAUAUUGUCUACCAUCUUAAAUUUGUUUCUAUGUUAAUAUGCAGAUGGUUUUUGCUGUAUUGGCUUUAUAGCAUCCAUAUCACAUGCUGACUAUUUAUAACUGCUUCCUAGAAUCACAUUUAAUUUCUUUUACCUGGCCAUGGACAAGGCUUUUCGCUCAACCUCCAACUCAUACUGUAACUGGGAAAUCUCCUGCUUUUCAUUUUCUGCUUCUUUUUGAAGUUUGCUAAUCCUUUCCCUUUCAUAUGAUAUCUCCGCCUUGCUACUCAGAAGGCUUUGCAACUGUUCCUCCACUUCACUUCUUAACCUUGAAAGAACUUCCAUUUCCGCUUCAAUAGCAGCCCGCUCCUUCAUCAGGGCAAUAUUAUCUGCUUCCCUUUCAGCUCUUAACUUUUCUAAUUCAAGCCUUGCCUCUUCAGCCAUUUUCUCCACAGCAUUAAUUUUUUCUCCGUCCAUUGAAAGCUCCUUCUCAAAACUUGCAUUGAUAUCCUGCUCAACUUGGGCUACUAAAGCAUUAUGUGCAGACACAACAUUUUCUGCCACGGAUUCUGCUUCAAUACGUGCAAGCUCCUCAAUAACUAUGUCAGAUGCCUCACCAGUUGCAAGAGCUACAGCAGCUUGGGCCUUUGUAACAGGUUUAUCUGGCUGAAAUAAUCUUGUGCACCCAAAUGCAAGUGAUAUUAUUCCUUGAUCUCCUGCAGACAAGUCAGCUAUCAGUGCAGGCCAUGCAUCUGGGUUUAUUUUAUCAAUAUCUCUAAAACCAGAAAGUUGGUACAAAAUCUGUCCAUCAGCUUCUGGAAGUUGUCUUUUCUGCAGGGCCAUCUUCCAGCUCACAAGAUCCUGCCUUGAUAAAGGGCUUUCAGGAGAGAAGUAAAAUGGACCUUGUUCUUCAUCUGAAGAAGAAAACAAAUCAUGAUUUGAAAGCCUGCUUGAGAUAAGUCCUGCUUCAGCCAAACCUUGAAUUGAUGAAAAAUCAGGGUCAUCAGGUGUGAUAUCAUCAAAUGCUAGUUCAGUAGCAUUCUCUAUAUACAUUGCAGGAUAUACUUUUGAAAGCGUGUUCCUUCAAGCAACCAAAAGGCAAUCAUAAAACAAGUCCUAAACUUCCCAUAUGCACUUUAUAUUGCUAAUCAACUGCUGCAGUCACACUGUCAAGAAACGUCCAUACCUUGAAAGAGCACUGCUUGCGGCCACCAACCAACGGGCAUACUCACGACGUGUACACAAAUCACUAGGUAGAACAUCAGCUUCAAUAACCUUCAAAGCUUGCAGUGCGGCUAGUGCUAGUGCCUGAGCCUGAUCAACAACUGCAGGAACCAGAACCUUUUCAGGAGAAACCUGCAUAGCUUCAGAAACUGCAGAUGGAGCAGGUAUACCAGCAGACAAGAAGGAACUGCUGAAAGGUGUUGGUACAAAAGAUGUUCUGCUUCCAAUUGUCUCAUCACUAGAAACCACGUCUUGUCUGUUUGCAAAUGGAUAGGCUGACGGUGAAACAGAAGUGGUUCCAGAAUAUUCACUCUCGUUUAAGUAAUUCACUUCCAGGGAUGAAUUAUUUCUCUCAGUUGAGGCCGCUUGAGUUGUUUUGCCUGUGUCAAGAUUUUCUUCUGCUGGAUGUGAGGUUACAGUCUCCUUGUCAUCUUUAGGAAAAAUUCCAGGCUUUAUAGCAGCAUCCACUGUUUUAGUGACUGAAAUACUCACAUCCACAGGCUUACUGGAUUCAUGAACAGGGGAAUUAGAAGAAUCACAUAAAGGAUAGGAAUUCUCUUUUAACUCUGAGCUAGGCAAUCCUCCUUCAUGGUCAGUGAAAGGAUUUUUUAUAUUCAACAAAUCAGCAGGUUCGCCAUUGACCAAAUUUUGCUCAAUUUCAGAAAUUGAUUGAGGUAUACUUGCAGCUAGGCUAUCAUCAGCAAUUUCACUGUCAGGCAAAUUCAUUGAGUUGGGAAUCAUUUCUGGAGGAUCUGACUUGCCAUCAGAAACUGAUUCAUAUUGCAUAUGCUCCUGAAUGGGAGCCUUAUCAAUGGUAUCAUGGGAACUUACGUAUUUUUCAUUGUCUACCAAUGGGGUCUGACUCUGACUGUGACUGCUAACGCUGAGUUUAUUUUCAUUAGGUGCUUCAAAAAGUUCUGGAGAGGACAUGUGUUUUGGACUGCGAUGAUCUUGCUUCACACUGCUUUUCUCACUUUUAUUCUUCUCAAGUUCAUCAUCCUCCACAUUAGAGACCAGUGAAACUUCCUGGUGAGUAGUCAAUGGUUCCAUCUGUUGUUUUGGUCUCGAUGUGCUUUGUUUACUGAGAGACAACGCUGCCAAGGUAAGUCCUGCAACUAGGACGACACCAGCUACUCCAGCUCCCACAAUCCCUGGAAGCCAUUUCUGCCUCUGCGACUUGGACUCGGGAGAUUGAUCACCAUCAUCCGAAUCAGACCAACCUGCAAAAUUAUUAGCCGCAGCGCCUGAAGCAAUCAUGGAACAUCUGUCAUGAAGCCGUUCCACUCCAUUUCCAUUUUGAGCUGCACAUAGCACACGAAUUUGAGGAUCCAGCUUCCUCACCCGAGUCCGUAUCAGAAUUGCAGGCGAUCCCCUAAAGUUCCUGCUUUUCAUGGCCAAACGAAGCUUGAGAGAGGUUGGAGAGCAGAUGGAAGCCAUGGACGCCAUUGAGAGCUUGACAAAUAUGGAGUCAACUCGAAAUUAUUAGAGAGACGGGGGGUGGGGAGGAGAUAAGGAUUUGAAGGAGAAAUCUAGGUUUAAUUUUUCGGUUUAUUCUCUGCGUUGUGAGGACGAGUGAGUGAUCUUUCGAGUGCUCGUGUUUCAUUGUAUUUUCAUCAAAAUGUCAACAACCCACCGGGCGGACGCCUAACCAAUUUCCAACAGCCAACGGCCAACGCUAAGGCCUCGCACGCUGCCGUUUUGCACGGAGUUAAUAUCAUUUUCUAUAAAAUUCCACGGUGGACCAAUUGAAUACUCUUAUUUAUGAAUAUUGUCAAUUUUUAUAUUAAAUCAUACAUUUAAUAUGUGCUUGUAGUUAUAAUACAAGCAUAUGGAAACAGUUAUUAAAAAUAAUUUUCAUAGCGUUGCUUGUAUGUAGAACUCAUCAUAUUAAAGACAGAUUUCUCAGAUAAAUUUCAUUUCCUUUUCAUUACUAGGCAUUCAAAGGGAUUGAUACGCAAGUUGGGUACCAAAAGAUAAACAUUAAAUAAUUAACUUUCUACCAAUGUAUUUAAAAGGAUAGAACUUCCAAGUGAAU